Molecule: unclassified non-coding RNA, 378 nt
Filed under: plant metagenome
Description: partial contains 5.8S ribosomal RNA, internal transcribed spacer 2, and large subunit ribosomal RNA
Rfam family: 5.8S ribosomal RNA (bases 1-105)
Source: RNAcentral
GAAAUGCGAUAAGUAGUGUGAAUUGCAGCAUUCAGUGAAUCAUCGAAUCUUUGAACGCACCUUGCGCUCCUUGGUAUUCCUUGGAGCAUGCCUGUUUGAGUAUCAUGAAAUCUUCAAAGUAAAUCUUUUGUUAACUCAAUUGGUUUCUACUUUGGUAUUGGAGGUCUUUGCAGCUUCACACCUGCUCCUCUUUGUUCAUUAGCUGGAUCUCAGUGUUAUGCUUGGUUCCACUCGGCGUGAUAAGUUAUCUAUCGCUGAGGACACUGUAAAAGGUGGCCAAGGUAAAUGCAGAUGAACCGCUUCUAAUAGUCCAUUGACUUGGACAAUACUUUUAUGAUCUGAUCUCAAAUCAGGUAGGACUACCCGCUGAACUUAAGC